UGUUUAUCCUGCAGGAGGUUGCUGCUAUGAGAAUCCCGCUAAGACAUGCAAGUCAAAGCCGCAAGGCUUGGCGGACUGCUCAGUAACACGUCGAUAACGUACCCUCAUGUCGGGGAUAACCUCGGGAAACUGAGGAUAAUACCCGAUAGGAGAUGGAUACUGGAAUGUACCAUCUCCUAAAGCAUACGCGCGCGAGGAUCGGUCGGCGGCGGAUUAGGUCGUUGGCGGUGUAAAGGACCACCAAGCCGAAGAUCCGUAAGGGCCGUGAAAGCGGUUGCCCUGAGAGGGACACUUAGAUACUGGUCCCAGCCCUACGGGGUGCAGCAGUUAGGAAAACUCCGCAAUGCUCGAAAGAGUGACGGGGGGAUUCUCAGUGCUUAGGUUAUACCUAGGCUUUUGUCAAGGGUAAAUACCUUGGCGAAUAAGUGGUGGGCAAGACUGGUGCCAGCCGCCGCGGUAACCCCAGCGCCACAAGUGGGAACCACUAUUAUUGGGUCUAAAGCAUCCGUAGCCGGCUCGCUAAAUGCUCUGUGAAAUCGUGGCGCCCAACGUCACGGCGUGCAGAGUAGACUGGCAAGCUAGGGACCGGGAGAAGCGUUCGGUAUUCCAUGGGGAGCGGUAAAAUGUGAUAAUCCAUGGAGGACCACCGAUGGCGAAGGCAGAACGCUAGAACGGAUCCGACGGUGAGGGAUGAAAGCUAGGGGAGCGAUUGGGAUUAGAUACCCCAGUAGUCCUAGCCGUAAACGCUGCGAGCCAGAUGUUGCACAAUCUACGUGAUUGUGCAGUGUCGUAACGAAGGUGUUAAGCUCGCCACCUGGGGAGUACGGUCGCAAGGCUGAAACUUAAAGGAAUUGGCGGGGGAGCAUUACCCGGGGUGCGGCGUGCGGUUCAAUUGAAUUCAACGCCCGAAACCUCACCAGGGGCGACGGCAGUAUGAUACUCAGUCUGAAGGGCUUAGUGGACGAGCCGAGAGGUGUUGCAUGGCCAGCGUCAGCUCGUGCCGUGAGGUGUCCUGUUAAGUCAGGCAACGAGCGAGACCCACAUUCAUAGUCGCUACCGGGAUCUUCGGAUCGACUGGGCACACUAUGGAGACUGCCCUGGAAACAGGGAGGAAGUUGUGGGCAACGCUAGGUCCGUACGGCCCGAAUCUCCUGGGCAACACGCGCGCAACAAUGGCACGGACAAUGGGACGCGACGCCGAAAGGCGAAGCCAAACCUCGAAACCGUGUCCUAGUGCAGGUCGAGGAUUGCAACUCAUCCUCGUGACGUCGGAAUCCCUAGUAAUCGGAGUUUAGCAUACUCCGGUGAAUAUGUCCCUGCUCCUUGCACACACCGCCCGUCAAACCAACCGAGUCGGGUGUCGGUGAGCCCGUGCUUUAUUGGUACGUUCGAACCGACGCUUGGUGAGGUGGGUUAAGUCGUCACAAGGUA
RNAcentral lists this ribosomal RNA (1431 nucleotides) under metagenome. Its description in RNAcentral is "bacterial SSU rRNA". It matches the Rfam family "Archaeal small subunit ribosomal RNA". The record is from RNAcentral.